AGUAGGCAGGCAGGUACCACACCACGUGGCCCGUGGAUGGGGGAUGGGAGCCUGGAGAGUCCAAACCUGAGCUAGGGAGGAAAGAGACGGCCGAAGUGGUUCUCUGAGGAGACGUUAGCUGGGCCAGGAAAGGCACUGCAGGCAGCAGGUCAUCCCGGGCGAGGGAAGAACCUCCAGCAGCCCAUCAGAGAGCUGAGGUCACGAGGCAAGCAGGGGAACCAAACUGCAGAGGUUGACAGGUCACUCCAAGGAGCGUGAGACACACGCACGGUUUCACCCGGGGCAGAGGGGAGGAAAGGACGCUGCCAAUACAGCAGGAAACUCAGGCAAGACGCCGCGCUUGCUGGCAGCAAAGCCAGCGUGAUGGAUGACACCAUUCACCACAACAAGAUGGCCACACCGUGGCAGGCGCCCAGGGCUCGUGAUCGCUCCCGGUGGGACUGAGUGGUUCACAGUGAGUCCAGGUCGGAGAACAGGCAGGUCCUAAAGGUCCGGAUUCAUGACCAGGGAUUCCCUGGAAGAAGAUCUGAAAGAAGCCCAGGCCCUAGGUGGAGCUCCUCUGCCUCCACGUGGAGCCACCCACCUGGAUUCCUGCAGAGCCCUGGAAGUCCUGGAACCCUGAAGUGGCUGCCUCUAGAGGAGGGCUCGGGCACAGUCAGCAGAGCCAGGAGGGCUGGGACCCUGCCACAGCCACAGUCCAAUUCCUGCAGUGGUCCUGGAGGGAGGUCUGGGCCCACCAUCACCUGCCUGGCCCAGUACAGAGCUCUUCUGAGGCCCCUGCCUUUCCUGACCACAGGAAGCCCUGCCAGGAAACAAGCAUAACACCAUCCCCUGGGCGGGGCUCCGGUGCUGAAUUGACAUCAUCAGAUGGACUAACCGCCCUGGUGACAGAGUUGGUGCCGUUUCCCAGAUCCUCCUUGGGACAACCUUGCUAGUCACCCCUUCCUCCCUGCCCUCAGGGUCAACAGCCGGCCUAGCCAACCCGGGGUGGGAGGACGCCUGCUGCCUCCUGUUGCGGCAGACUCCCUCUCCCCUCUCUCUGCAGUCUCACUGGCAAAUGAGUAAGAAGAAUAGAAUUACAGUUGGGCUACACGAGACACAGAAUUAGCGGGAUUAAAUAAAAAUAGCUAUUAAAAGUGCCUUA
Long non-coding RNA from Bos taurus (domestic cattle), 1144 nucleotides. Lineage: Eukaryota; Metazoa; Chordata; Mammalia; Artiodactyla; Bovidae. The record is from Ensembl.